CUCGCUUAAUUGGAUAAUUUGUUUGUUCCUUUUAAUUCAAAGUCCAUACCCUUUUUUUCUUUAGACACUACCCGACUUUACCAUUAACAAAAUUAUUUGUUUAGAAAACUACUACGAUUAUAUUCACAUUAGUUGGUUAAGGAACUUAAACAACAGGAAACUAGGCCAAAAUUAAGCGAGGAAAUGAGAAUGUAACAUCUCCUGCACCAAGCGAAGAGAUGCUAGGAGGUACCAUGAAUGUUAUUUAAAGCAAGAGUCUUGACUAUAUGCCAAAUUGGCUAAACGAUCAAUCGUUGAAUUAGCUUCCUAUAAAUAUGGACAACAAACACCUCGACUGCUGAAUUAGCUUCCUAUAAAUAUGGGCAACAAACACCAGCCUAGUUCCUAGAGAUGACUAAUGUGGUCGAUAAUAUCACCCUUCAGAUAAGGCAUAGUCCUUCCUGCCCGCAACACCUACUGAGGCUUGUUGCAAACUUUCUGCAGCUCUGCUUUAAAUGUUGUACAAUCUUCAAUUUUGAUUGAAAAAUCUCUAAGCCACUACUAUCAGAAUCGCGAAAUACGUCACUUGCAGUCUCAUCAUACUCCUAACUGUGUUUGAAGUCUUCAAAAGCACCCAACCAACGUUAGAGGUGACCAGCCCGAACAAGACUACAUGCUUGCUGUUAGAUACCUGUUGCAUAUUGUUCAAAGAUAUCAAGUAAUACAAGCUCUGACGAGAAAAAAGAGUCAAAAGGCCCCUCAAGUUUCCGAUUAAGAAAAAGGGGUCCCACAAAUUUGUUAAAAAAAAGAAGUCUUUUUGAACAACUGAGAUAGUUGUUAGUCAACUACAUUAGUUGUCUGAACAACUUUACGCAACUGUUGAACAAUUUUGAUAGUUGUUGAAUAACUUAGCAAAGUUGUCGAACAACUACCAAAGUUGUUCUACAACUGGAACAAGUUAUUGGGACGAAAUUUUUAAAAAAAAAAAAAAAAAUUGUCCCUCUCACCUAAUUUAAAAAACUUGAAGGACUCCCACUUAAUUGGAAAACUUAGGAGUCCUUUUUAAUCUAAAGUUCCAGCUCUGACCAUAUGAACGAGCUUUUAAAUUGCAAUAGGAUAGUUUACGUAUCUUUGGUAAACAUCCUACACACUGUUUGGAUGGUGAUUUUUCAUGGUAUGGUAUGAUUACUAAAGUAACCAUGUUUGUUUUGAUUAUUUGUUAAAAUGUAUGGUAUGGUAAGAUUUACUUUCAUGGUUUGGUAACUAUAAAAAUCCUUACUUUCUCUAACCAUCGAUUUGGUGGUAUCCCAUGGUUCGCUUAUAUAUUUUUUUUAAUUAUGCCCUGAUACUAUUUUAUUCUUUACCUUAGUAUUAUUUAACUCCACCUCCUACCCCUCCCCC
This 1380-nucleotide long non-coding RNA is filed under the name Capsicum annuum. Its description in RNAcentral is "long non-coding RNA (CANN_LNC004939)". Lineage: Eukaryota; Viridiplantae; Streptophyta; Magnoliopsida; Solanales; Solanaceae. The record is from RNAcentral.